RNAcentral lists this ribosomal RNA (377 nucleotides) under uncultured bacterium. Its description in RNAcentral is "bacterial SSU rRNA". It matches the Rfam family "Bacterial small subunit ribosomal RNA", at positions 521 to 896 of the family's 1533-position model. The record is from RNAcentral.
UAAUACGUAGGGGGCGAGCGUUGUCCGGAAUUACUGGGCGUAAAGGGCGUGUAGGCGGCCGGUUAAGUCAGAUGUGAAAACCCUGGGCUCAACCUGGGGAUGGCAUUUGAAACUGACCGGCUUGAGGGCAGGAGAGGGAAGCGGAAUUUCCAGUGUAGCGGUGAAAUGCGUAGAUAUUGGGAGGAACACCAGUGGCGAAGGCGGCUUUCUGGACUGCACCUGACGCUGAGGCGCGAAAGCUAGGGGAGCGAACGGGAUUAGAUACCCCGGUAGUCCUAGCCGUAAACGAUGGGUACUAGGUGUGGGAGGUAUCGACCCCUUCCGUGCCGGAGUUAACGCAAUAAGUACCCCGCCUGGGGACUACGGCCGCAAGGUUG